RNAcentral lists this ribosomal RNA (504 nucleotides) under uncultured bacterium. RNAcentral describes it as "partial 16S ribosomal RNA". It matches the Rfam family "Bacterial small subunit ribosomal RNA", at positions 30 to 523 of the family's 1533-position model. The record is from RNAcentral.
AUUGAACGCUGGCGGCAGGCCUAACACAUGCAAGUCGAACGGUAGCACAGAGAGCUUGCUCUCGGGUGACGAGUGGCGGACGGGUGAGUAACGUCUGGGAAACUGCCCGAUGGAGGGGGAUAACUACUGGAAACGGUAGCUAAUACCGCAUAACGUCGCAAGACCAAAGUGGGGGACCUUCGGGCCUCACACAAUCGGAUGUGACCAGAUGGGAUUAGCUAGUAGGUGGGGUAAUGGCUCACAUAGGCGACGAUCCCUAGCUGGUCUGAGAGAAUGACCAGCCACACUGGAACUGAGACACGGUCCAGACUCCUACGGGAGGCAGCAGUGGGGAAUAUUGCACAAUGGGCGCCAGCCUGAUGCAGCCAUGCCGCGUGUAUGAAGAAGGCCUUCGGGUUGUAAAGUACUUUCAGCGGGGAGGAAGGCGGUGAAGUUAAUAGCUUCACCGAUUGACGUUACCCGCAGAAGAAGCACCGGCUAACUCCGUGCCAGCCGCCGCGGUAA